Molecule: ribosomal RNA, 112 nt
Filed under: Paenibacillus thiaminolyticus
Lineage: Bacteria; Bacillati; Bacillota; Bacilli; Caryophanales; Paenibacillaceae
Source: RNAcentral
UGGUGGCGAUGGCGGAGGGGUUCCACGCGUACCCAUCCCGAACACGACCGUUAAGCCCUCCAGCGCCGAUGGUACUUGGACCGCAGGGUCCUGGGAGAGUAGGACGUUGCCA